GAGUUUCCCAAUGGCUCAGUGUCCCCGCCCUCAGGCCCUUUUCCUUUGAUCCACUCUCCACACUGCUGCCAGGGAGCUUGCCAGAAGGCAGGUCUGAGCGUGCUGAGCCGCCAGUCUCCUCUGUGAAGCCCUUCAGCGGCUCUUCCCAUCAAUGGGAGAAAGUCCCCAUACCUGUCCCACUCUUACCAGACUUCCUUUCUCGGAACGUUCUGGGCUCCUUUGACACAUGCUUUCUCUCCUGUCCAGAUUUUCCUCUCUCAAACUUGGCCAUCUUCACAGAUGAUCUAUUGAACUCACCUUUCCAGGCUCGUGUUGAACAGUACUUCUUCUGUGAGACGUCUCCCAGGGACUGAAGGGAGUAAUCAGCUUGAAUCUUGGAGAAAUUCCCAGUUAACAGCAAAAAGCUAUCAACCAAUCCACACUUUUGGUGAAGUACAGGAAAUGGAAAGAAUGUAACAGAACCUUUGAAGACUACUUGGAUAUAUGGAGGCACAGACUAAAGACUACAUUUCCUAGACCCCUAUGCAGCUGGGUCGGGCCACACAACUAAAUUUUGGCCAACGAGAGCCCAUUGACCAGUCCAAGAAACCCAACUGCAAGGGCAAAAAAGGGAUUGGGGGCCUCUCGCCAGUCUCAGCCAUGCUGCUCAAACUUCUUCGUGGAGGCGAGGAAAGAACAUGGCUCGGAUGGAUGUGCUGGAGGAAAUGCACCAGGAAAUCCCGAGCAGGGUGCAAUCAGUCAGCAUUAAUGCCCACAAGUAUCAAAGCUACUUGAAGAAAUACAGCUACUUAUGGAUGGGCGAUAAAAUUGAAUUCAUGAAGCAGCUCCUUCUCCAUGGGCAAUUUCUUGGUGCUGAAGAACUAGAAUUGCAUGCAGACUAAGAGUGUCAGAACUCCACACUGCAGUCAGCACACUUUGAAGAACAGGCAUUGAAUUUUAGCCGAGUCUAGCAUUAUCUUUUUCGAUUCCGAGGACAGCUAUUAAAUCAUAAAAUAUUUUGUGAUAUAAAGCUCUUGCUUCUGAGAGAUCUUUCCUUUCUUCCCUUUAAGAUCAACAUCUAUGAAAUAUUAUGUGAAUGAGUUGACAGCUUUAAAAAUCAGAGGAUAUUUAGUGGCUAGCUUCAAGUUGAUAGUAAACCUUUUAAAAACCAAUGAUGAAUGUUAC
This 1164-nucleotide long non-coding RNA is filed under the name Equus asinus (donkey). RNAcentral describes it as "lncRNA (ENSEASG00005034937.1)". The record is from RNAcentral. Lineage: Eukaryota; Metazoa; Chordata; Mammalia; Perissodactyla; Equidae.